CACAUGCAAGUCGAACGAACCUUCGGGUUAGUGGCGGACGGGUGAGUAACGCGUGAGAAUCUGCCCUCAGGAGGGGGAUAACAGCUGGAAACGGCUGCUAAUACCCCAUAUGCCGCGAGGUGAAAUGAAUUUCGCCUGAGGAUGAGCUCGCGUCUGAUUAGCUAGUUGGUGUAGGUAAUGGCUCACCAAGGCAUCGAUCAGUAGCUGGUCUGAGAGGAUGAUCAGCCACACUGGGACUGAGACACGGCCCAGACUCCUACGGGAGGCAGCAGUGGGGAAUUUUCCGCAAUGGGCGAAAGCCUGACGGAGCAACGCCGCGUGAGGGAUGAAGGCCUCUGGGCUGUAAACCUCUUUUAUCAAGGAAGAAGAUCUGACGGUACUUGAUGAAUAAGCCACGGCUAAUUCCGUGCC
RNAcentral lists this ribosomal RNA (411 nucleotides) under uncultured bacterium. Its description in RNAcentral is "bacterial SSU rRNA". It matches the Rfam family "Bacterial small subunit ribosomal RNA", at positions 52 to 509 of the family's 1533-position model. The record is from RNAcentral.